UCCAGACUCCUACGGGAGGCAGCAGUGGGGGAUAUUGCACAAUGGGGGAAACCCUGAUGCAGCGACGCCGCGUGAGUGAAGAAGUAUUUCGGUAUGUAAAGCUCUAUCAGCAGGGAAGAAAAAAGACGGUACCUGACUAAGAAGCCCCGGCUAACUACGUGCCAGCAGCCGCGGUAAUACGUAGGGGGCAAGCGUUAUCCGGAUUUACUGGGUGUAAAGGGAGCGUAGACGGCAAUACAAGUCGGAAGUGAAAUACCCGGGCUCAACCUGGGAACUGCUUUGGAAACUGUAUGGCUGGAGUGCUGGAGAGGUAAGCGGAAUUCCUAGUGUAGCGGUGAAAUGCGUAGAUAUUAGGAGGAACACCAGUGGCGAAGGCGGCUUACUGGACAGUAACUGACGUUGAGGCUCGAAAGCGUGGGGAGCAAACAGGAUUAGAUACCCGUGUACA
RNAcentral lists this ribosomal RNA (448 nucleotides) under uncultured bacterium. RNAcentral describes it as "bacterial SSU rRNA". It matches the Rfam family "Bacterial small subunit ribosomal RNA", at positions 330 to 794 of the family's 1533-position model. The record is from RNAcentral.